UACGGAGGGUGCAAGCGUUAUCCGGAUUUACUGGGUUUAAAGGGUGCGUAGGUGGGUCUGUAAGUCAGUGGUGAAAUCUUCAAGCUUAACUUGGAAACUGCCAUUGAUACUAUAGGUCUUGAAUUGUCUGGAGGUAAGCGGAAUAUGUCAUGUAGCGGUGAAAUGCUUAGAUAUGACAUAGAACACCAAUUGCGAAGGCAGCUUACUACGGAUUGAUUGACACUGAGGCACGAAAGCGUGGGGAUCAAACAGG
This 253-nucleotide ribosomal RNA is filed under the name uncultured bacterium. Its description in RNAcentral is "partial 16S ribosomal RNA". It matches the Rfam family "Bacterial small subunit ribosomal RNA", at positions 524 to 776 of the family's 1533-position model. The record is from RNAcentral.